RNAcentral lists this small nuclear RNA (78 nucleotides) under Jaculus jaculus (lesser Egyptian jerboa). The record is from RNAcentral. Lineage: Eukaryota; Metazoa; Chordata; Mammalia; Rodentia; Dipodidae.
AAAAUUGGAAUGAUACAGAUAUUAGCAUGGUCCCUGUGCAAGGAUGACACACAAAUUCAUGAAGAAUUCCAUAUUAAA